UCUUGUUUUGGUUUAUAUCCUUUCUACAAUUGAAAAGCAUCUUCUCUUUAGCAUAUUUAGAUCUUUUCACACAAAGCUUAUGAAGCCUAAUUUGAGCCUGUUAAUCUUUUUCUUGGUAACCCAUAGACAAGCACAGCUGCACUGCUAAAAACGCAGUGUUUAUCCACAAUCACCGGGUCUGGGCAGCCCGCAGCGUUCCAGAGAUCAAAGUUUAAAACAGAUAUGCCAGUCCUUCCUAAUUGUUUGUGUUUAAGCACACAGCACCACGAAGUCUAAAUUGCUGCUGCUGAAAGCUUGUGCUGAGCUUGGGCCUAUGUUGAAGUGAGUGCAGCCCCUCCUGCACCCUGGCUUUAGCAGAAAGGUUUUAUUAAAAAUGCCUGGUGAGAAGCAGACUGCAGUGACAUACUACGUUGGAGUUGACGUGGGCUCAGCCAGUGUUCGCGCGGCGCUGGUGGACGGCUUUGGGACGGUGGUGGCACACGCAGAGCACCCCAUCCAGGUUUGGGAGCCCCAGCCAGACCACUAUGAGCAAUCCUCUGCAGACAUCUGGGCUGCCUGCUGCUCUGUCACAAAGGAAGUUGUCCGUGGAGUGGAUGCCAGCCAGAUUCGAGGGCUUGGGUUUGAUGCUACCUGUUCCCUUGUUGUGGUGGAUGAACAGUUCCAACCUUUGGCAGUCAACUCUGAAGGACAGAACCAUAGGAAUGUGAUCAUGUGGAUGGACCAUCGUGCAGUGAGCCAAGUCCAGCGCAUCAAUGCCACCCAGCACAGGGUUCUGAACUACGUAGGGGGAGCCAUGUCUGUGGAAAUGCAGCCUCCUAAAUUGCUCUGGAUAAAGGAAAACUUGCCAGAAUCGUGGGAGAAGGUUGGCUACUUCUUUGAUCUUCCGGAUUUCUUAUCUUGGAAAGCCACAGGUGUCACUGCAAGGUCUCUCUGUACAGUAGUGUGCAAGUGGACAUACACAUCAGAUAGAGGUUGGGAUGACAGUUUCUGGAAUAUGAUUGGUUUGGAAGAUUUGGUGAUGGAUAAGUAUGAAAAAAUAGGAAACCACGUCCUGUCUCCUGGAGAGGCUGUUGGGAAAGGUCUGACACCAGAGGCUGCGGAAGAUCUCGGGCUCCCCAAAGGGAUUGCAGUGGCAGCAUCUCUCAUUGAUGCACAUGCUGGAGGACUAGGAGUAAUUGGAGCAGAUGUGAAAGGACACAACCUUCCGUGUGAGAACCAGCCCAUUACAUCUCGAGUGGCUAUGAUCUGUGGAACAUCUUCUUGCCACAUGGGGGUCAGUGAAACCCCCAUUUUUGUGCCUGGUGUUUGGGGACCGUAUUUCUCUGCUAUGGUACCUGGAUUGUGGUUGAAUGAGGGAGGCCAGAGUGCUACAGGAAAAUUGAUCGAUCAUGUGGUGCGAGGCCACGUCGCCUUCCCAGAACUAGAGGCAAAGGCUGCAGCCAGUGCUCACAGUAUAUAUACAUACUUGAACAGUCACCUGGAUCUGAUUAAGAAAUCUUUGCCUGUGGGUUUCCUCACUGUUGAUUUACAUGUUUGGCCAGAUUUCCAUGGUAACAGAUCUCCCUUAACAGAUCUGACACUAAAGGGCAUGGUUGUUGGACUAACAUUGUCUCGGGGUCUGGAUGAACUUGCCCUUAUCUACCUGGCCACGAUCCAAGCCAUUGCUUUAGGAACAAGACAUAUUUUGGAGGCGAUGCAGGCUGCAGGACAUGAGAUCAGCACGCUGUUCCUGUGUGGUGGGCUGAGCAAGAACCCUCUCUUUGUGCAGAUGCAUGCUGACAUUACUGGCAAGCCUGUUGUGCUGUCCAAAGAAGUGGAGUCUGUUUUGGUGGGUGCUGCUAUUCUUGGAGCUUGUGCUUCUGGGGAUUUUGCAUCUAUCCAGGAGGCCAUGGCAAAAAUGGGGAAAAUUGGGAGAGUCGUGCAGCCCAACCACGAGCAUAAAAGAUUUUAUGACAAGAAAUACAAAGUAUUUUUGAAGCUUGUGGAGCACCAGAGAGAGUAUCGCUCCAUCAUGAACAGCUUGUGAUCCAGAGGCAUGGGAGCUGGGAACAGCAGGUGAAUUUCCAGGCAUGUGUGAUGCGGAAGGGAAGCAAUCACUGUGUCAUCAGCUGCUCCAAGAGUCCUGCAGAGAGGCCCAAGCUUCACUCACAUGGAGAAGACAAGAAUAUGAUGGUUCCAAAGAAACAAAGAGAAAGUAUUGGGAAAAAACUCCAUGGAGACCCACCUGGGUGAAGAGUCCUCACAAGGCAAGAGUCAGGAAUGACAACCUGUCAUACAGGGCAACUUGCAGGACUUCUCCAGGUGAGAAUUCCAG
Molecule: non-coding RNA, 2314 nt
Organism: Lonchura striata (white-rumped munia)
Lineage: Eukaryota; Metazoa; Chordata; Aves; Passeriformes; Estrildidae
Source: RefSeq, a predicted model, not a curated record